ACGCUCGACACCUACGGAGGCAGCAGUGGGGAAUAUUGCACAAUGGGGGAAACCCUGAUGCAGCGACGCCGCGUGGAGGAAGAAGGUCUUCGGAUUGUAAACUCCUGUUGUUGGGGAAAAAGAGGAUGGUACCCAACAAGGAAGUGACGGCUAACUACGUGUCAGCAGCCGCGGUAAUCUGAGGCGGGCUGGACAAGGC
RNAcentral lists this ribosomal RNA (199 nucleotides) under uncultured bacterium. RNAcentral describes it as "partial 16S ribosomal RNA". It matches the Rfam family "Bacterial small subunit ribosomal RNA", at positions 328 to 539 of the family's 1533-position model. The record is from RNAcentral.